This 855-nucleotide ribosomal RNA is filed under the name uncultured Gammaproteobacteria bacterium. RNAcentral's name for it is "bacterial SSU rRNA". It matches the Rfam family "Bacterial small subunit ribosomal RNA", at positions 45 to 891 of the family's 1533-position model. Lineage: Bacteria; Pseudomonadati; Pseudomonadota; Gammaproteobacteria. The record is from RNAcentral.
UGCUUAACACAUGCAAGUCGAACGGAAACGAUACUAGCUUGCUAGUAGGCGUCGAGUGGCGGACGGGUGAGUAACGCGUAGGAAUCUGCCUGAUAGUGGGGGAUAGCCCGGAGAAAUUCGGAUUAAUACCGCAUAAUCUAUUCGUAGUAAAGUGGGGGACUUUCGAGCCUCACGCUAUCAGAUGAGCCUGCGUAAGAUUAGCUUGUUGGUAGGGUAAAAGCCUACCAAGGCGACGAUCUUUAGCUGGUCUGAGAGGAUGAUCAGCCACAUCGGGACUGAGACACGGCCCGAACUCCUACGGGAGGCAGCAGUGGGGAAUAUUGGACAAUGGGGGCAACCCUGAUCCAGCAAUACCGCGUGUGUGAAGAAGGCCUGAGGGUUGUAAAGCACUUUCAAUUGUGAAGAAAAGUUAACGGUUAAUAACCGUUAGCCUUGACGUUAACUUUAGAAGAAGCACCGGCUAACUCCGUGCCAGCAGCCGCGGUAAUACGGAGGGUGCAAGCGUUAAUCGGAAUUACUGGGCGUAAAGCGUGCGUAGGCGGUUUAUUAAGUCAGAUGUGAAAGCCCCGGGCUUAACCUGGGAACUGCAUUUGAAACUGGUAAACUAGAGUAUGGUAGAGGAAAGUGGAAUUUCUGGUGUAGCGGUGAAAUGCGUAGAUAUCAGAAGGAACAUCAAUGGCGAAGGCAGCUUUCUGGACCAAUACUGACGCUGAGGUACGAAAGCGUGGGUAGCAAACAGGAUUAGAUACCCUGGUAGUCCACGCCGUAAACGAUGAUAACUAGCCGUUGGGGGGAUUUACCCUUUAGUGGCGAAGCUAACGCGUUAAGUUAUCCGCCUGGGGAGUACGGCCGCAA